AAUCGUUAACCAUUUAAUAGGCGUUGGCAUUCAUUCGUCAAGAGUGAAGAGUUGUUGCUUGAGCGCUUCUGUUUAAAAAAGCUAGAAAAAUAUCUGAAUUGUUCUUCCUUUUGAAGAUAUGGCAACACAGUUCUCUACUCAAACUGUCACGGUCACAACUCAACCUGGUGGUCUGCGAAAUUGGAACAGUAGUCUUUUCUCGUGUUUUGAUGACAUAAAGACCUGUCUUUGUGGAUGUUGUUGCAGUUGCUGUCUUGCAAUUCAAGUUGCCACACGUAUGGGAGAAAGCUGUUUGUUCCCGCUCUGCUGUCCAGGAGCUCUGCUGGCCAUGCGAGCUAAGUUGCGAGGAGAACAGAACAUCCAGGGUGAUUUGUGUAAUGAUGCGAUCGUUGUUGAAUGCUGUGGUCCAUGUGCUCUUUGUCAAAUGUCCAGAGAGUUGGAUAUCCUUGGCCGAUAAAGUCUUUGUUCCUUCCUGGCAUUUCUUUCGCAACUAUGCAUAUAUAAACAUGUUUUUCUCGCAAAGAACGUAUUUUUAAUUAGUGCCAAGUUUAUUUUGCAGUACACGGAUAUGAUGUCAUAUUAUGAGUACUACCUUUUUUGUAAGCAAUAAAUGUCUUUGCUAACUUACAAAGCGAUAUGGGGUAAUUGCAGGCCUGGGUGAUCCUAAGUGUUAUAAUUGUUAUUUGGUAUGUUGCUCAUCACGAGAUUCUUUGCGAAAAUUCUCUUCCAAAUUGACUUGGUUGUGAUUUGUAUUCGUUGUAGGAACAUUUUUAUUCCUACUUGUUCUGAAUCAGACCUGGUUUGUACAUCUUGUUUAGUAGCUGCCUUUAAAACAAGGAAUGAGAAAAGCCAGAAUCUGUCGGUAAAACGGCUAAUAGAAUUACGGCUUUUUCAUUUCUUGUUUUUUUGCUUGUUAGCGUGGGUUAUACGACAUAGUCUUCAACAUUAUUUUUUGGUAGUAUGAUCCUUGAUCCGUGGUAACAAACUGAUAUAACCAAGGAACAGCGUGGCACUGGGAACAACUGAAAUUAUGCAGCCUCCUGGACUCUGAUUGGGGCAUCAUUCUGGGCGCCAAAAAUAAACUAUAUGAAUAAACCCAACGGUCCCAACUGAAGAUACUGCUGGUUAUUGCUGGUAAAAUAUUUUUCCAAUUCACAGAGAAUUUAUGCAAAAAAAUGACUGGAACGAAAAUUACAGACGGAGACCGAAAGAGAAUUGACUCGAAGUUCAUCUGCGUUAUUUGUCAUUUCCUGUUGUUUGAACCAGUGCAGACCAUCUGUGGUCAUCUCAUGUGUCUGUCGUGUUUUGAAACCUUGCUUGGGAGUUCAACUCCAAGAUGUCCUGAAGAUGGUGAGGAGUUAAGUAAAGAAAAAGCAUUUUCUGAUGCUUUCACAAAACGUGAGCUUAAUGGUCUUGAAAUACAUUGUGCAAAUCUCGAUUGUACGUGGAAUUCUAGCUACGAUAAACUAGUGAGCCAUUCUCAGGUCUGCGAACAUGCAAUUAUACAGUGUGUCCAUUCCCAGUGCAAGAAUAAAAUCAAACGCUCUCACUUGGGUGAACAUUUGAAGAAGGAAUGUGAAUAUCGGAGUGCUAGCUGUCAAUAUUGUCGUAAAGAUGUUGCAUUUGCCUCGAUGAAGGAACACGUCGCUACGAGCUGUGAAGCUGCACCUG
RNAcentral lists this unclassified non-coding RNA (1671 nucleotides) under Dendronephthya gigantea. Its description in RNAcentral is "ribosome biogenesis protein TSR3 homolog, transcript variant X3". Lineage: Eukaryota; Metazoa; Cnidaria; Anthozoa; Malacalcyonacea; Nephtheidae. The record is from RNAcentral.